Molecule: transfer RNA, 540 nt
Filed under: uncultured cyanobacterium
Lineage: Bacteria; Bacillati; Cyanobacteriota
Description: partial contains 16S ribosomal RNA, 16S-23S ribosomal RNA intergenic spacer, and 23S ribosomal RNA
Rfam family: tRNA (bases 213-285)
Source: RNAcentral
CAGGGAGACAACAAAAUGUUUAAUAUUAUUAUUUUGUCACCUUAGGUCGAUCGGUAUCUCACAUUCUUAAUUUAUUAAGAAUUUUAUUUCCUAAGUUUUUUCUAGGUCACACCCAUCACUUUUCCUGGGCCAUUAGCUCAGGUGGUUAGAGCGCACCCCUGAUAAGGGUGAGGUCCCUGGUUCAAGUCCAGGAUGGCCCAUAUCUCUAUGUUGGGGGUAUAGCUCAGUUGGUAGAGCGCCUGCUUUGCAAGCAGGAUGUCAGCGGUUCGAGUCCGCUUACCUCCACUGAUUACCACCUCUUCCAUAAUUUUUAUUGAGGAAAUGUUUUGAGUAGUGAUCAAAUUCUGAACGAAUCUAGCUUCCUAAUGAAAUCAUUAAGAUGCUGGACUCAUUGAAUUAAUUUCAUUGUUUUCAGAGAACCUUGACAACUGCAUAGAUUACUUUUAAAGACAAUAAGCAUCUUUGUGAUGCAGAUUUAUUAUUUGUGCGAUUGCAUUAAUAACAAUUCUAUUAAGCUGGUGCUUCAAUUAUGAAGUUAUU